Long non-coding RNA from Cyprinodon variegatus (sheepshead minnow), 686 nucleotides. RefSeq lists it as uncharacterized. The transcript has 4 exons. Lineage: Eukaryota; Metazoa; Chordata; Actinopteri; Cyprinodontiformes; Cyprinodontidae. The record is from RefSeq and is a predicted model, not a curated record.
AAUAUUUACAGAUAAAAAAAGAUAAAAGCAUUGUGUGAAGACAGCAAAAGAAAACUGGAAGCACAAAAAGGAACUGAAUUGUUUUUUAAAAUAACCUAAGGCAUAGUUUUUAUAAAACAAUCAAAAUAUUAGCUGUCUGAAUAUGAAGAGCAGCCUUUUUGGACCACUUGUUCUUCUCAUUUUCAUAAGCAUAAAGGCAUCUGCUUCUAGACAUUACAUUGUCUUCAACCAUGGUUUGACUUGGAAUGAAGCACACGAUUUCUGCAAGAGCCAUUACACCAAUUUGGCCACCUUCCUCACCCAGUCAGAGGUGGAGAGUUUGGACUUGAAAGAAUAUCUGGUGUGGAUCGGCCUAUACAAAUAUCAUUCCUACUGGUGGACAUGGUCUAAUGAACAUACAUAUAUUUAUCGUUAUUCAAACUGGAGAUGGAAGGAUCUACGCAUGUGGGGAUCUUGUGCUGCUGUUAACUUCAGAGACAAAAUAUUUCACAUACAAAAUUGUCAAACUCGUCUGAUGUUUGUCUGUCAGCGUGAUGAUGCAUACACAUUUGUAACAGAAGCAAAGACUUGGCUUGAGGCGCUUGAGUACUGUAGGCUUCAGCAUGGUGAUUUAGCCCGCUUCCGAACUUCCAGUAUGAACGACAUAUUCACUGAGUUGGACUUUCCCUGCUGGACUGGACUGCGGA